UACAGAGGUCUCAAGCGUUGUUCGGAUUCAUUGGGCGUAAAGGGUGCGUAGGCGGCGCGGUAAGUCGGGUGUGAAAUCUCGGAGCUUAACUCCGAAACUGCAUUCGAUACUGCCGUGCUUGAGGACUGGAGAGGAGACUGGAAUUUACGGUGUAGCGGUGAAAUGCGCAGAUAUCAGGAGGAACACCGGUGGCGAAGGCGGUUCUCUGGGAAUUACCUGACGCUGAGGAGCGAAAGCAUGGGGAGCAAACAGG
This 253-nucleotide ribosomal RNA is filed under the name uncultured bacterium. RNAcentral describes it as "partial 16S ribosomal RNA". It matches the Rfam family "Bacterial small subunit ribosomal RNA", at positions 524 to 776 of the family's 1533-position model. The record is from RNAcentral.